CUCGGGGAGGAGGGGUCCCUCAGCCCAGACUGCAAGAGGGCACAGGCCAGGCCAAGGGACUCCACCGGUGCACA
Non-coding RNA from Myotis davidii, 74 nucleotides. The record is from Rfam. NCBI's taxonomy places the organism in Eukaryota, Metazoa, Chordata, Mammalia, Chiroptera, Vespertilionidae.